UAGACGGAGGGGGAAUAACUGCGGGAAACCGGCAGACUAACGACCCGCAGUAGGUAGUGGACACUGCAGUGGUCGACAUAUUAAAAGUGCCAAGGCACUGGUAGAGGAUGGACUUAUGGCGCAUUAGCUAGUUGGUGAGGUAACGGCUCACCAAGGCGACGAUGCGUAGCCGACCUGAGAGGGUGACCGGCCACACUGGGACUGAGACACGGCCCAG
Molecule: ribosomal RNA, 217 nt
Filed under: uncultured bacterium
Lineage: Bacteria
Description: partial 16S ribosomal RNA
Rfam family: Bacterial small subunit ribosomal RNA
Source: RNAcentral